This 433-nucleotide ribosomal RNA is filed under the name uncultured Oscillospiraceae bacterium. RNAcentral's name for it is "bacterial SSU rRNA". It matches the Rfam family "Bacterial small subunit ribosomal RNA", at positions 341 to 792 of the family's 1533-position model. The record is from RNAcentral. Lineage: Bacteria; Bacillati; Bacillota; Clostridia; Eubacteriales; Oscillospiraceae.
ACGGAAGGCAGCAGUGGGGGAUAUUGCACAAUGGGCGAAAGCCUGAUGCAGCGACGCCGCGUGAGGGAAGACGGUCUUCGGAUUGUAAACCUCUGUCUUUGGGGAAGAAAAUGACGGUACCCAAAGAGGAAGCUCCGGCUAACUACGUGCCAGCAGCCGCGGUAAUACGUAGGGAGCAAGCGUUGUCCGGAAUUACUGGGUGUAAAGGGAGCGUAGGCGGGAUGGCAAGUAGAAUGUUAAAUCCAUCGGCUCAACCGGUGGCUGCGUUCUAAACUGCCGUUCUUGAGUGAAGUAGAGGCAGGCGGAAUUCCUAGUGUAGCGGUGAAAUGCGUAGAUAUUAGGAGGAACACCAGUGGCGAAGGCGGCCUGCUGGGCUUUAACUGACGCUGAGGCUCGAAAGCGUGGGGAGCAAACAGGAUUAGAUACCCUGGUA